RNAcentral lists this ribosomal RNA (446 nucleotides) under uncultured Thiobacillus sp. Its description in RNAcentral is "bacterial SSU rRNA". It matches the Rfam family "Bacterial small subunit ribosomal RNA", at positions 933 to 1382 of the family's 1533-position model. Lineage: Bacteria; Pseudomonadati; Pseudomonadota; Betaproteobacteria; Nitrosomonadales; Thiobacillaceae. The record is from RNAcentral.
UGGAUGAUGUGGAUUAAUUCGAUGCAACGCGAAGAACCUUACCUACCCUUGACAUGUCCGGAACUUGCCAGAGAUGGCUUGGUGCCCGAAAGGGAAUCGGAACACAGGUGCUGCAUGGCUGUCGUCAGCUCGUGUCGUGAGAUGUUGGGUUAAGUCCCGCAACGAGCGCAACCCUUAUCAUUAGUUGCUACGCAAGGGCACUCUAAUGAGACUGCCGGUGACAAACCGGAGGAAGGUGGGGAUGACGUCAAGUCCUCAUGGCCCUUAUGGGUAGGGCUUCACACGUCAUACAAUGGUCGGUACAGAGGGUUGCCAAGCCGCGAGGCGGAGCCAAUCCCACAAAGCCGAUCGUAGUCCGGAUUGUUCUCUGCAACUCGAGAGCAUGAAGCUGGAAUCACUAGUAAUCGCAGAUCAGCUAUGCUGCGGUGAAUACGUUCCCGGGUCUU